UAGAGUUUGAUCCAGGCUCAGAUUGAACGCUGGCGGCAGGCCUAACACAUGCAAGUCGAACGGUAACAGGAAACAGCUUGCUGUUUCGCUGACGAGUGGCGGACGGGUGAGUAAUGUCUGGGAAACUGCCUGAUGGAGGGGGAUAACUACUGGAAACGGUAGCUAAUACCGCAUAACGUCGCAAGACCAAAGAGGGGGACCUUCGGGCCUCUUGCCAUCAGAUGUGCCCAGAUGGGAUUAGCUAGUAGGUGGGGUAACGGCUCACCUAGGCGACGAUCCCUAGCUGGUCUGAGAGGAUGACCAGCCACACUGGAACUGAGACACGGUCCAGACUCCUACGGGAGGCAGCAGUGGGGAAUAUUGCACAAUGGGCGCAAGCCUGAUGCAGCCAUGCCGCGUGUAUGAAGAAGGCCUUCGGGUUGUAAAGUACUUUCAGCGGGGAGGAAGGGAGUAAAGUUAAUACCUUUGCUCAUUGACGUUACCCGCAGAAGAAGCACCGGCUAACUCCGUGCCAGCAGCCGCGGUAAUACGGAGGGUGCAAGCGUUAAUCGGAAUUACUGGGCGUAAAGCGCACGCAGGCGGUUUGUUAAGUCAGAUGUGAAAUCCCCGGGCUCAACCUGGGAACUGCAUCUGAUACUGGCAAGCUUGAGUCUCGUAGAGGGGGGUAGAAUUUCAGGUGUAGCGGUGAAAUGCGUAGAGAUCUGGAGGAAUACCGGUGGCGAAGGCGGCCCCCUGGACGAAGACUGACGCUCAGUGCGAAAGCGUGGGGGAGCAACAGGAAUUAGAUACCCUGGUAGUCCACGCCGUAAACGAUGUCGACUUGGAGGUUGUGCCCUUGAGGCGUGGCUUCCGGAGCUAACGCGUUAAGUCGACCGCCUGGGGAGUACGGCCGCAAGGUUAAAACUUAAAUGAAUUGACGGGGGCCCGCACAAGCGGUGGAGCAUGUGGUUUAAUUCGAUGCAACGCGAAGAACCUUACCUGGUCUUGACAUCCACGGAAGUUUUCAGAGAUGAGAAUGUGCCUUCGGGAACCGUGAGACAGGUGCUGCAUGGCUGUCGUCAGCUCGUGUUGUGAAAUGUUGGGUUAAGUCCCGCAACGAGCGCAACCCUUAUCCUUUGUUGCCAGCGGUCCGGCCGGGAACUCAAAGGAGACUGCCAGUGAUAAACUGGAGGAAGGUGGGGAUGACGUCAAGUCAUCAUGGCCCUUACGACCAGGGCUACACACGUGCUACAAUGGCGCAUACAAAGAGAAGCGACCUCGCGAGAGCAAGCGGACCUCAUAAAGUGCGUCGUAGUCCGGAUUGGAGUCUGCAACUCGACUCCAUGAAGUCGGAAUCGCUAGUAAUCGUGGAUCAGAAUGCCACGGUGAAUACGUUCCCGGGCCUUGUACACACCGCCCGUCACACCAUGGGAGUGGGUUGCAAAAGAAGUAGGUAGCUUAACCUUCGGGAGGGCGCUUACCACUUUGUGAUUCAUGACUGGGGUGAAGUCGUAACAAGGUAACCGUAGGGGAACCUGCGGCUGGAUCACCU
This 1531-nucleotide ribosomal RNA is filed under the name uncultured Shigella sp. RNAcentral's name for it is "bacterial SSU rRNA". It matches the Rfam family "Bacterial small subunit ribosomal RNA". Lineage: Bacteria; Pseudomonadati; Pseudomonadota; Gammaproteobacteria; Enterobacterales; Enterobacteriaceae. The record is from RNAcentral.